This 590-nucleotide long non-coding RNA is filed under the name Centruroides sculpturatus (bark scorpion). RNAcentral describes it as "uncharacterized LOC111622146, transcript variant X1". The record is from RNAcentral. Lineage: Eukaryota; Metazoa; Arthropoda; Arachnida; Scorpiones; Buthidae.
GAUACUCGAUUUAUAUUACAAUUAGUUCAUUAAUUGCCUAAACAAAGUACUCGUUAUCGGAGAAAUUUAAAGAAAGUUCGAAGGAAGUGUUAAUAUUUAUUUCACGAUAUUGUGCAAUGUUCAUUACCCGCGCAACGGUCGAAAAGAUAACGUUAUAAAAAUAUGGUAGGGAGGAAUUCUACGUAAGAGAUGUAUAGUUAAUUUCUGCACGUGAUAUCCUGUAAGGAUGUUACAUUUGUUAAAUCGAAAGGAAGUUUAUCCACUUAAGAAUAAUCAUCGUAAUUGAAAGAUUAGAACCUGUUUUAAAACGAGUAUUAUCGUCAUGUCUACCUUCAAUAUCACAAUGCAAGAGUGUAGUGAUAUAAAAAUGGGAGAUACGAGUAAAACUGUAAUUGUUGAUAACACCGAAAAAGUUAAGUUAAAGAUAUGCCAAGAUAAGCUAAUGAACAGAUACAAGACUACUUACGCAUAUAUGAGUUCCUCACUCUGGAAGGAAGGACACAAUGACUUUCCAAUUAAAGAAUGUUUUGUUGACGUUAAACUUCAAAAAACAGAUAUGAUAGGACGAAAAACGGGUGAAAUUAUACAAA